RNAcentral lists this ribosomal RNA (156 nucleotides) under Persea schiedeana. RNAcentral describes it as "5.8S ribosomal RNA". It matches the Rfam family "5.8S ribosomal RNA". Rfam says of the family: 5.8S ribosomal RNA (5.8S rRNA) is a component of the large subunit of the eukaryotic ribosome. It is transcribed by RNA polymerase I as part of the 45S precursor that also contains 18S and 28S rRNA. Lineage: Eukaryota; Viridiplantae; Streptophyta; Magnoliopsida; Laurales; Lauraceae. The record is from RNAcentral.
GACUYUCGGCAACGGAUAUCUCGGCUYUCGCAUCGAUGAAGAACGUAGCGAAAUGCGAUACUUGGUGUGAAUUGCAGAAUCCCGUGAACCAUCGAGUCUUUGAACGCAAGUUGCGCCCGAGGCCACUCGGCCGAGGGCACGCCUGCCUGGGCGUCA